UUGAUCCUGGCUCAGGACGAACGCUGGCGGCGUGCCUAAUACAUGCAAAGUCGAACGAACUCUGGUAUUGAUUGGUGCUUGCAUCAUGAUUUACAUUUGAGUGAGUGGCGAACUGGGUUGAGUAACACUGGGAAACCUGCCCAGAAGCGGGGGAUAACACCUGGAAACAGAUGCUAAUACCGCAUAACAACUUGGACCGCAUGGUCCCGAGCUUGAAAGAUGGCUUCGGCUAUCACUUUUGGAUGGUCCCGCGGCGUAUUAGGCUAGAUGGUGGGGUAACGGCUCAACCAUGGCAAUGAUACGUAGCCGACCUGAGAGGGUAAUCGGGCCACAUUGGGACUGAGACACGGCCCAAACUCCUACGGGAGGCAGCAGUAGGGAAUCUUCCACAAUGGAGCGAAAGUCGAUGGAGCAACGCCGCGUGAGUGAAGAAGGUUUCGGCUCGUAAAACUCUGUUAGUUAAAGAAAGAACAUAUCUGAGAGGAACUGUUCAGGUAUUGACGGUAUUUAACCAGAAAGCCACGGCUAACUACGUGCCAGCAGCCGCGGUAAUACGUAGGUGGCAAGCGUUGUCCGGAUUUAUUGGGCGUAAAGCGAGCGCCUGGCGGUUUUUUAAGUCUUGAUGUGAAAGCCUUCGGCUCAACCGAAGGAAGUGCAUCGGAAACUGGGAGACUUGAGUGCAGAAGAGGACAGUGGAACUCCAUGUGUAGCGGUGAAAUGCGUAGAUAUAUGGAAGAACACCAGUGGCGAAGGCGGCUGCUCUGGUCUGUAACUGACGCUGAGGCUCGAAAGUAUGGGUACGCAAACAGGAUUAGAUACUCCUGGUAGUCCAUACCGUAAACGAUGAAUGCUAAGUGUUGGAGGGUUUCCGCCCUUCA
Molecule: ribosomal RNA, 878 nt
Filed under: Lactiplantibacillus plantarum
Lineage: Bacteria; Bacillati; Bacillota; Bacilli; Lactobacillales; Lactobacillaceae
Description: bacterial SSU rRNA
Rfam family: Bacterial small subunit ribosomal RNA
Source: RNAcentral